This is a long non-coding RNA of Chelonia mydas (Green sea turtle), 1668 nucleotides long. RefSeq lists it as uncharacterized. The record is from RefSeq and is a predicted model, not a curated record. Lineage: Eukaryota; Metazoa; Chordata; Testudines; Cheloniidae. The transcript has 3 exons.
AAAUGUCUGCUUCCUUAGAGUAGCAAGCAAGGGCAGUGCAACUGACCAUUGACAAAGGAGUGCAGCUGACUUUGAAUGCAAUGCUGACAAAUAUAUAAAGCAAGUAAAAUGGGAAAAAUUGACUUUUUAACAUUUCUAAUCUUUCAGUUCUAUUAAUCUUUUGAUCCAGUGUACAGCGCAGGAGCUGAGUUUAGCAAAGGGUAAAAGGGGAGGCAAAGGAGGCUUUAAGUGGAGCUUGUUCCCCAGUGCAGCUUCAGGGCUGUACUCAUACUAUGGCUGCCUAUAGCUCCUAAAGGCCAGUCUGGAAGCUAGGAAAAGGAACAGACCAACCACUUGUCUUCCUUCAGGUAAACCUCCUAAGAAAGUAAAUGGAAGUUGAAGGCCUUGAAGACUGCUAAUCAGAGGGUCUUGUGCAGCAUCCAGUGGGAGAAAGAAGCAACACCAAAGAGUUGGCCCUCUCCAUUCCCUCAGCCACUCAGCAGAGAUCUACUAAAGUUUGGGCUUCUCAACUUGUGCCAGUGGAGGGGGCAAAGUAUGCCUUAGUUUUUAAUUCUGUGCUUGCUCAAGGGGAAAGAAAAUCUUAUUGAAAUAAAUGGUAGUUCAGUCUGAUUGAGAUCUGUGUAGGAAGGCCUUCUGGAUUUGGCCUCAUGAUGCUGUCUGGUAUAUUUUAAGGACACACUUCAAAGACAAUAGAAAUGUUUAAUGCUGUUUCUUCUUCUCAGGACUUAACUACUGUGCAAUAUGUGUAUUUCAAUAAUUAAAGCGCUUUUGGAAUUGUCGUGAAACAUGAAAAGAAAAACUUUACAGGUGAAACUUUUGUAAGAAGGGUUGUUGUUUUUUUGUUUUGUUUUUUCAUCAAAGGCUGAGGGUAAAAUGACUUUGACACAGAAAUCAUAGCCCUGGGAAUCCGUAAAUGCUUGAAGUUAGAACAUGUAAUUAUUGGAAAAUAAUCAAUCAUUCUUGUAGUUUCUGCUCUGUGUAAUUCACCGCCCACCAAGAUUUGGUUAGCACCUAAUAAAUUUGUCAUUACAAAAAUGUUAAUAAAAACAGCGCAGAAGCUUGUUGGAUAAUUCUAUCAAGUUAGCAAUAUUAACAUGAAAGUCAAGUGCAUUUUUUUCUGAUUAAUGCUUGUUUCCAUACUGCACGUGUUCAGCAGAUAAAAUUAAGGAAGCCACAACUAUAAACUAGCCUUCCUGUCAAACAAUAUUGAGUCUGAUUCUGACCUUACUGAUGCCCACAUAAUUCAGGAGUAACCCUAAUGAAAUCAGGAGAAUUAUUGAUGUAAAACUGUGUGUGCUGAGGAUCAGGCCAAUUAUGCUACAACACUUAUUAAUUGUUUCCCAUUAUGUGGCAGGAACAGAGGGAUGAAUGCAUGAAUCCUCCUCCUUCUCUCUCAGGGAGGGCAAUUGGGAGCCAAUCUGGAUGCAGGAUUUUUGCACAAAGUUCUUCCUCUUCCUGAUGGACAAGCAGAUUUUUUUUUUCUCGCUGUGGAUUUGCAAGACACCCAGCGCUCAGAAAUUCAAAGGUCAGAAGCAGGCCAAGGCACCCAGGGCAGUGCAGCUCCUGUGGAGGAGACUGGUUGCUCGGAAACUGGAAGAGGCUCAGGUAGGCCUUCACACAGGUGCUCCUGGGUUCUGUGGCAUUACCCAAGAUUCAUGGGAAGCUAAA